GGGGAUGAAGCUCAGUUGGUAGAGUGCUUGCCUUGCAUGCACAGAGUCCUGGGUUCAAUCCCCAGCAUGGUUU
This 73-nucleotide transfer RNA is filed under the name Ictidomys tridecemlineatus (thirteen-lined ground squirrel). Its description in RNAcentral is "Spermophilus tridecemlineatus (thirteen-lined ground squirrel) tRNA". It matches the Rfam family "tRNA". Rfam says of the family: Transfer RNA (tRNA) molecules are approximately 80 nucleotides in length. The record is from Rfam by way of RNAcentral. Lineage: Eukaryota; Metazoa; Chordata; Mammalia; Rodentia; Sciuridae.